CCUACGGGAGGCAGCAGUAGGGAAUUUUCGGCAAUGGGGGGAACCCUGACCGAGCAACGUCGCGUGAAGGAAGAAGGAAUUCGUUCUGUAAACUUCUGUUAUAAAGGAAGAAAGACGGAUGGAGGAAAUGACAUCUGAGUGACGGUACUCUAUGAGAAAGCCACGGUAAACUACGUGCCAGCAGCCGCGGUAAUACGUAGGUGGCAAGUGUGAUCCGGAUUGAUUGGGCGAAAAGAGGGAGCAGGGGGCAGCUAAGGUCUGUGGUGAAAGACUGAAGCUUAACUUCAGUAAGCCAUAGAAACCGGGCGGCUAGAGUGCAGGAGAGGAUCGUGGAAUUCCAUGUGUAGCGGUGAAAUGCGUAGAUAUCAGGAGGAACACCGGUGGCGAAGGCACUUUACUGGGCCGUGAUUGACGCUGAGGAACGAAAGCCAGGGUAGCAAAUGGGAUUAGAUACCCUGGUAGUC
This 464-nucleotide ribosomal RNA is filed under the name uncultured bacterium. RNAcentral's name for it is "partial 16S ribosomal RNA". It matches the Rfam family "Bacterial small subunit ribosomal RNA", at positions 338 to 795 of the family's 1533-position model. The record is from RNAcentral.